This is a non-coding RNA of Melanotaenia boesemani (Boeseman's rainbowfish), 570 nucleotides long. Lineage: Eukaryota; Metazoa; Chordata; Actinopteri; Atheriniformes; Melanotaeniidae. The record is from the annotation of a RefSeq genome assembly.
UUCGGUGGAGGAACCAGACUGGAGUUUGGAAGUGAUGUUCGUCCCACCCUGACAGUCCUGCUCCCCUCCGAAGAUGACCUGCAGAGGGGUAAUGUCACUCUCAUGUGUCUGGCCAACAAGGGCUUCCCCUCAGACUGGAGUCUGUCCUGGAAGGUGGACGGCUGCAGUAAAAACUGCUAUGAGGACAGCAGGAGCCUCGGGGUGCUGCAGAAGGACGGCUACUACAGCUGGAGCAGCACCCUGAGGCUCCCUGCAGACCAGUGGAUGAGGGUGGGCUCUGUGACCUGUGAGGCCACCAAGGAGUCCAUAACCCCAGUUUUAGAGAUACUGAGAAGAGACCAGUGUUCCCAGUACUGACCUGAAUUACCUUAUUACUCUGAUUUUACUCUGCUUUGAUAUUUACUGUUUUUAUACUAUUGCUGAUGGAUAUAAACAUAUAUACAGUAUAUAUAUGUAUAUAUAAACUGUUAGCACAUCAGUAUUUUUCUUUCUCUCCAGUUGUAUCAGAUGAUUCUGAUCAGUGCUUCUCUGGUUGUUUCAAUGCAAUAAAGACGUCUUCAUUAAAACAAA